UUUCCGUAGGUGAACCUGCGGAAGGAUCAUUCAUAAUAAAGUGUUUUAUGGCACUUUUUAAAAAUCCAUAUCCACCUUGUGUGCAAUGUUAGAUCUCGUCAAUCUUGGCGAGAUUUUUAUACAUCAACUCAUUCUUUAACUAAUUUGUCUGAAAAAUAUUAUGAAUACUUAAUUCAAUAUACAACUUUCAACAACGGAUCUCUUGGCUCUC
Molecule: unclassified non-coding RNA, 211 nt
Filed under: plant metagenome
Description: partial contains small subunit ribosomal RNA, internal transcribed spacer 1, and 5.8S ribosomal RNA
Source: RNAcentral